This 242-nucleotide long non-coding RNA is filed under the name Malus domestica (apple). RNAcentral describes it as "long non-coding RNA (MDOM_LNC013532)". The record is from RNAcentral. Lineage: Eukaryota; Viridiplantae; Streptophyta; Magnoliopsida; Rosales; Rosaceae.
CAUGCUCCACCACCGAUUUCGCUAUUGGGUGUUCACUAUUUGCCUACAUAUUUAUCAGAUAGAGGAAUGUUAGCAUGAAUGACAAAAAACAAUUUUACAAUAGCAUAAACAGUGAUUUAUCUCAUCCUAACUACUCUACAAACACUAACAUUUUUAAUGCAACUGGUUAAGUGUUGGAAAUGUGCCCUAAAGCCAAUCAUAUGAUGAUACUUUACGGACAUUUCACAUGUUAAACUAAUCUA